RNAcentral lists this ribosomal RNA (465 nucleotides) under uncultured bacterium. RNAcentral's name for it is "partial 16S ribosomal RNA". It matches the Rfam family "Bacterial small subunit ribosomal RNA", at positions 28 to 507 of the family's 1533-position model. The record is from RNAcentral.
GACGAACGCUGGCGGCGUGCUUAACACAUGCAAGUCGUACGGUAAGGCCCUUUCGGGGGUACACGAGUGGCGAACGGGUGAGUAACACGUGGGUAACCUGCCCACAACUUGGGGAUAACGCUAGGAAACUGGUGCUAAUACUGGCUAUGUGCUCCUGCUGCAUGGUGGGGGUUGGAAAGCUCCGGCGGUUGUGGAUUGACUCGCGGCCUAUCAGCUUGUUGGUUGGGUAGUGGCCUACCAAGGCGGCGACGGGUAGCCGGCCUGAGCGGGUGACCGGCCACAUUGGGACUGAGACACGGACCAGAGUCCGAAGGGAGGAAGAAGGGGGGAAUAUUGAACAAUGGGAGCAAGCCCGAUGCAGCAACGCCGCGUGCGGGAUGACGGCCUUCGGGUUGUAAACCGCUUUCAGCAGGGACGAAGCUGUUUGUGACGGUACCUGCAGAAGAAGCACCGGCUAACUACGUG